UACGUAGGGGGCAAGCGUUGUCCGGAAUCAUUGGGCGUAAAGCGCGCGUAGGUGGCCCGGUACGUCCGCUCUGAAAGUCAAAGGCUCAACCUUUGAAAGCGGGUGGAUACUGUCGGGCUAGAGUCCGGAAGAGGCGAGUGGAAUUCCUGGUGUAGCGGUGGAAUGCGCAGAUAUCAGGAGGAACACCAACGGCGAAGGCAGCUCGCUGGGACGGUACUGACACUAAGGCGCGAAAGCGUGGGGAGCGAACAGG
RNAcentral lists this ribosomal RNA (253 nucleotides) under uncultured bacterium. RNAcentral describes it as "partial 16S ribosomal RNA". It matches the Rfam family "Bacterial small subunit ribosomal RNA", at positions 524 to 776 of the family's 1533-position model. The record is from RNAcentral.